GUGUGAUGCUUUUCCUGUCUUCCAGCAGGCUAUGGACCCCAAAGGGAGCUGUGCUUUCCAGGAGGCUCCUGGGGUUGGUGCCUACACCACUCAGAGCCAGGACUUUGCUUCAAAUCUCCCUUUUGGAUAAAAAGAGGGCUGCUCCAAGGCCAUGGAUCGAGGACUGAGCAAGUCCAGUUCACAGUUUUGAAUGCUCCUGCUCAGGAUAUGCUCAAGGAACACACCAGUUGCAGAAAACACUCCAGAAUAGCACCAAAAAGAGGAUUGGGCAAUUUCAAGUUUUUGAUGAACCAUCAUUCCAGCUUCCAAAUCUCCUGUGAGGACAGGGAUCUCUGAGCUGCCACCUCCUGAUCCAGUUCACCCUCUGCCUGCUGGAUGCACACUGCUGAACUGGUAGGAUUUGUUUGGGAUUUUGCUUCUCACCUGUCCUCACCCUUUGCUGGUUUGUACUGGGCU
This 456-nucleotide long non-coding RNA is filed under the name Junco hyemalis (dark-eyed junco). RNAcentral's name for it is "lncRNA (ENSJHYG00000006526.1)". The record is from RNAcentral. Lineage: Eukaryota; Metazoa; Chordata; Aves; Passeriformes; Passerellidae.